This 467-nucleotide ribosomal RNA is filed under the name uncultured bacterium. RNAcentral describes it as "bacterial SSU rRNA". It matches the Rfam family "Bacterial small subunit ribosomal RNA", at positions 335 to 792 of the family's 1533-position model. The record is from RNAcentral.
ACUCCUACGGGAGGCAGCAGUGGGGAAUAUUGCACAAUGGGGGGAAACCCUGAUGCAGCCAUGCCGCGUGUGUGAAGAAGGCCUUCGGGUUGUAAAGCACUUUCAGUAGGGAGGAAGGUAGUGUAGUUAACACCUGCAUUAUUUGACGUUACCUACAGAAGAAGCACCGGCUAACUCCGUGCCAGCAGCCGCGGUAAUACGGAGGGUGCGAGCGUUAAUCGGAAUUACUGGGCGUAAAGCGCAUGCAGGCGGCCUGUUAAGUCAGAUGUGAAAGCCCGGGGCUUAACCUCGGAAUUGCAUUUGAAACUGGCAGGCUAGAGUCUUGUAGAGGGGGGUAGAAUUUCAGGUGUAGCGGUGAAAUGCGUAGAGAUCUGAAGGAAUACCAGUGGCGAAGGCGGCCCCCUGGACAAAAGACUGACGCUCAGAUGCGAAAGCGUGGGGAGCAAACAGGAUUAGAUACCCUGGUA